CUACGAGGGGUGCAAGCGUUAUUCGGAAUCAUUGGGCGUAAAGGGUGUGUAGGCGGCGUACUAAGUCAACUGUUAAAUCCCCCAGCCUAACUGGGGACCAGCGGUAGAUACUGGUAUGCUAGAGGAUGGAAGAGAGAAGCGGAAUUCUUGGAGUAGCGGUAAAAUGCGUAGAUCUCAAGAGGAACACCGAUGGCGAAGGCAGUUUCUUGGUCCAUUUCUGACGCUAAGGCACGAAAGCGUGGGGAGCAAACAGGAGUAGAUACCCUAGUAGUCC
Molecule: ribosomal RNA, 274 nt
Filed under: uncultured bacterium
Lineage: Bacteria
Description: partial 16S ribosomal RNA
Rfam family: Bacterial small subunit ribosomal RNA
Source: RNAcentral